Molecule: ribosomal RNA, 240 nt
Filed under: uncultured Gardnerella sp.
Lineage: Bacteria; Bacillati; Actinomycetota; Actinomycetes; Bifidobacteriales; Bifidobacteriaceae
Description: partial 16S ribosomal RNA
Rfam family: Bacterial small subunit ribosomal RNA
Source: RNAcentral
GCGUGACCAACCUGCCCCAUGCUCCAGAAUAGCUCUUGGAAACGGGUGGUAAUGCUGGAUGCUCCAACUUGACGCAUGUCUUGUUGGGAAAGUGUUUAGUGGCAUGGGAUGGGGUCGCGUCCUAUCAGCUUGUAGGCGGGGUAAUGGCCCACCUAGGCUUCGACGGGUAGCCGGCCUGAGAGGGCGGACGGCCACAUUGGGACUGAGAUACGGCCCAGACUCCUACGGGAGGCAGCAGAU